This 532-nucleotide ribosomal RNA is filed under the name uncultured bacterium. RNAcentral describes it as "bacterial SSU rRNA". It matches the Rfam family "Bacterial small subunit ribosomal RNA", at positions 977 to 1509 of the family's 1533-position model. The record is from RNAcentral.
GGCCUUGACAUCCAGAGAACUUAGCAGAGAUGCUUUGGUGCCUUCGGGAACUCUGAGACAGGUGCUGCAUGGCUGUCGUCAGCUCGUGUUGUGAAAUGUUGGGUUAAGUCCCGCAACGGGCGCAACCCUUAUCCUUUGUUGCCAGCGGUUCGGCCGGGAACUCAAAGGAGACUGCCGGUGAUAAACCGGAGGAAGGUGGGGAUGACGUCAAGUCAUCAUGGCCCUUACGGCCAGGGCUACACACGUGCUACAAUGGCGCAUACAAAGAGAAGCGACCUCGCGAGAGCAAGCGGACCUCAUAAAGUGCGUCGUAGUCCGGAUUGGAGUCUGCAACUCGACUCCAUGAAGUCGGAAUCGCUAGUAAUCGUAGAUCAGAAUGCUACGGUGAAUACGUUCCCGGGCCUUGUACACACCGCCCGUCACACCACGGGAGUGGGUUGCAAAAGAAGUAGGUAGCUUAACCUUCGGGAGGGCGCUUACCACUUUGUGAUUCAUGACUGGGGUGAAGUCGUAACAAGGUAAGCGUAGCGAG